Molecule: ribosomal RNA, 550 nt
Filed under: uncultured bacterium
Lineage: Bacteria
Description: bacterial SSU rRNA
Rfam family: Bacterial small subunit ribosomal RNA
Source: RNAcentral
UACCGCGUGUGUGAAGAAGGCCUUAGGUUGUAAAGCACUUUCAAUUGGAAGGAAAAACUCAUGGCCAAUACCCGUGAGCUUGACAUUACCUUUAGAAGAAGCACCGGCUAACUCCGUGCCAGCAGCCGCGGUAAUACGGAGGGUGCAGGCGUUAAUCGGAAUUACUGGGCGUAAAGCGUGCGUAGGCGGCUCGCUAAGUCAGAUGUGAAAGCCCCGGGCUCAACCUGGGAACGGCAUUUGAAACUGGCAAGCUAGAGUUUAGGAGAGGAGAGUGGAAUUUCAGGUGUAGCGGUGAAAUGCGUAGAGAUCUGAAGGAACACCAGUGGCGAAGGCGACUCUCUGGCCUAAAACUGACGCUGAGGUACGAAAGCGUGGGUAGCAAACAGGAUUAGAUACCCUGGUAGUCCACGCCGUAAACGAUGUCAACUAGCCGUUGGCUCUCUUAGAGAGUUAGUGGCGCAGCUAACGCAUUAAGUUGACCGCCUGGGGAGUACGGACGCAAGGUUAAAACUCAAAUGAAUUGACGGGGGCCCGCACAAGCGGUGGAGCA